CUAUUUUCCUUUGAUUUUUGGAGAUGAAGCUCAGGAAGAAGUUGAAAAGGUUAGAGCAUUUGGUCAUAAGUUGCUCAAAGAGUACAAGAGACCACAUCGUUUGACAGAAAAUACAUAUUUGUUUCCAUCAUCUUCACAAUCAGAGUCGUCUACUACUAGUGGAAAACAUUCUCGCAUGGCUGGUUUUGAUACAUUUGUUAGCCUUUCUGUUACUGCUGAUCAUGUAAAAACAGAGUUCGAUAUUUUUCUAGAUGAGCCAGUAUUGCCUAGGGUGGACGGUUUUGAUCUAUUGACAUGGUAGAAAGCAAAUUCAAUAAAAUAUCCGACUUUACAGAAGGUUGCAAGAGAUUUAUUAGCCAUUCCAGUAUCUACUGUUGCAUCCGAGUCAUCAUUUAGUACAAGUGGUAGAUUUGUGAGCCCACAUAGAAAUAGGCUUCACCCGAAGACUUUAGAAGCUUUAAUGUGUGCUCGAGAUUGGCUUUGGUCUGAUAUUCAUGGUAGGAUGUAUUGUUUUAUGUUUGUUAUUUAUGCACUUUCUUUUAUUGCUAAUUUUUUCCUCUUUUGUGUGUAGAAAAUUCUGGUCCUUCAUCAUAUUCCGGAGCUUGUGCAAAGUUUGAUGACGAGGAUGUUGACGAAGAGGUACAUUUUUUUGUUUAAAUAUUUAGUUAAAAACAUUAUGGAUUAUUGAUUUAUUACUCUACUUACAUUUCUUAUAUACUAUAUAGGAAUCGACUUUGAGUUUUGACGGAUGCCAGUAAGAGUUGUGGAGAAGAAUGAAGAUUGAAUAUGAAUUGAAGUUGAAGCUUUUUGAGUUAUUGAAUAUUGUUUGUUAAAUUUGGAUUUUGUGUUUGAGAAUUGGGAUUUUUUUGCAUUUUCAUUUGGGAUGUAUUGUUGUUCGUUACAUUAACUUAGUAUCAUGUUUUUGUUUUCAUUUUAAUUCGACGGAUGGACCAAUUAAAAAUAAUUUAUUUUCGUGGUUAUUAACAA
Molecule: long non-coding RNA, 987 nt
Filed under: Olea europaea subsp. europaea
Lineage: Eukaryota; Viridiplantae; Streptophyta; Magnoliopsida; Lamiales; Oleaceae
Source: RNAcentral